UAGGCCCGCCUGCGGCUUCCACACGCCCAGAGGGGUCCCCAGCUCCAAGAUGCUACGUGGGCUCGUUUUUUUCACAGAAAGAGGGGCAGGAGGGCUUGCAGGCUUGCAGGCUCCGCUGCCUGGCUCACUGACAGGGAUGCGAAGGAGGGGUGCUUUAGAGGUCAAGACCCUGGGAGACUGGGGGCUGAGCAAGGAAAUUGCCUACGUGCCUGACGGCUGAAAGACGGAAUUAGAAGCGCUCUUCUCUGAAUGUGCGAAUGCUGCAGGACCUCCUGUUAAGUUCGGGACCUACAGGGUUGAAAGUCUGGGUCUCCCGAGGGCACAAAAGAAGGUCAACCCUCUUUUGCCUUUCCAAGCACU
This is a long non-coding RNA of Apodemus sylvaticus (European woodmouse), 360 nucleotides long. RefSeq lists it as uncharacterized. The transcript has 3 exons. Lineage: Eukaryota; Metazoa; Chordata; Mammalia; Rodentia; Muridae. The record is from RefSeq and is a predicted model, not a curated record.